CCUAGUUCCUAUUUGAUUUUUUCGUAAUAAAUAAUCUUUUUUCUCAAUAGAUUCUUUCCAGAUUUCAAUGCUAUUAUAAAUAUGGACGGUUCCAUUUCCCCUUCUUUUACUGUUCACUACUUUAUUCUUGAACUACUUAUAUUAUAUCUCAUUUACCAGUUAUUUGCUCAUUCUUUUACAGCUGAGUACUAUGCUAUAAUCGAAGUGCUAACUCUUAACUCUUACUUUUUGCCUAACAAGUUCUUAAUCGCCUCGGACUCAAUGUUAUGUUUCCAAUCUUUUAGUUCCAGUCUUUUUAAUUUACUUAUAUCUUAUUCAGCCUCUGUCAAUAAGAUUUUGUCAUUCAGUUUCUGUGGGUUUCCAGACAUAUAUAAGCUAACCAUUCGGGGUACCUAAUUAGCAGUGCUAGGAUUUAUAUGCAACAGCAUGUUUUUUUGCGACAUCUGGUUAUUGAUUUUGUAAGUAAUUUCCACGAAUCACCUCAUGAUGAGAUAAGUGGCUGUGUUUUUAUUUUGCAUGUUUUUGCAUAUUUUCGAUAAAAUGCAUAUUAUUGCAUAUAUUGAAUAAAACGAAUAUUAUUGCAUAUUUCGAUUAUAAGAAUGCAAAAAGUGCAUGUUUCGCAG
Molecule: non-coding RNA, 623 nt
Organism: Cinara cedri
Lineage: Eukaryota; Metazoa; Arthropoda; Insecta; Hemiptera; Aphididae
Source: the annotation of a GenBank genome assembly